AGGCAGUCAGAGCGCGCGCUGCAGCGGCAGAGCCAAAGCCGGGAGCCCAAGCGGCCGCCGGAUCGCAGCCCGUGGGGCCAGCCGCAACCAUGGGCAACCGUGGCAUGGAGGAUCUAAUCCCGCUGGUCAACCGGCUGCAGGAUGCCUUCUCCGCCAUCGGCCAGAACGCGGACCUCGACCUGCCACAGAUCGCCGUGGUGGGCGGCCAGAGCGCCGGCAAGAGCUCAGUGCUCGAGAAUUUCGUAGGCAGGGACUUCCUGCCCCGAGGAUCUGGCAUUGUCACCCGACGCCCCCUGGUCCUGCAGCUGGUCAAUGCUACCACAGAAUAUGCCGAGUUCCUGCACUGCAAGGGGAAGAAAUUCACCGACUUCGAGGAGGUGCGCCUGGAGAUUGAGGCUGAGACCGACCGGGUGACUGGCACUAACAAGGGCAUCUCUCCGGUGCCCAUCAACCUCCGCGUCUACUCGCCGCACGUGCUGAACCUGACCUUAGUGGACCUGCCCGGAAUGACCAAGGUCCCAGUGGGGGACCAACCUCCCGACAUCGAGUUCCAGAUCCGCGACAUGCUUAUGCAGUUCGUCACCAAGGAGAAUUGCCUCAUCUUGGCCGUGUCCCCAGCCAACUCCGACCUGGCCAACUCUGAUGCCCUCAAGGUCGCCAAGGAGGUGGACCCCCAGGGUCAGCGCACCAUCGGGGUCAUCACUAAGCUGGACCUGAUGGACGAGGGCACAGAUGCCCGUGAUGUUCUGGAGAACAAGCUGCUCCCGCUGCGCAGAGGCUACAUUGGAGUGGUGAACCGGAGCCAGAAGGACAUCGAUGGUAAGAAGGAUAUCACGGCUGCCUUGGCUGCUGAACGCAAGUUCUUCCUCUCCCACCCUUCCUACCGCCACUUGGCUGACCGCAUGGGCACGCCCUACCUGCAGAAGGUCCUUAACCAGCAACUGACAAACCACAUCCGGGACACACUGCCAGGGCUGCGGAACAAGCUUCAGAGCCAGCUGCUGUCCAUUGAGAAGGAGGUGGAGGAGUACAAGAACUUCCGCCCUGAUGACCCAGCGCGCAAGACCAAGGCUCUGCUGCAGAUGGUCCAGCAAUUUGCUGUAGACUUUGAGAAGCGCAUUGAGGGCUCAGGGGACCAGAUCGAUACCUAUGAACUGUCGGGGGGAGCCCGCAUCAACCGGAUCUUCCAUGAGCGCUUCCCCUUUGAACUGGUCAAGAUGGAGUUUGACGAGAAGGAACUCCGAAGGGAGAUCAGCUAUGCCAUCAAGAAUAUACAUGGCAUUAGAACGGGGCUCUUUACCCCAGACAUGGCCUUUGAGACCAUUGUGAAAAAGCAGGUGAAGAAGAUCCGAGAACCGUGUCUCAAGUGUGUGGACAUGGUUAUCUCGGAGCUAAUCAGCACCGUUAGACAGUGCACCAAGAAGCUCCAGCAGUACCCCCGGCUGCGGGAGGAGAUGGAGCGCAUUGUGACCACCCACAUCCGGGAGCGCGAGGGUCGCACCAAGGAGCAGGUCAUGCUCCUCAUCGAUAUUGAACUGGCUUACAUGAAUACCAACCAUGAGGACUUCAUAGGCUUUGCCAAUGCUCAGCAGAGGAGCAACCAGAUGAACAAGAAGAAGGCUUCAGGGAACCAGGAUGAGAUUCUGGUCAUCCGGAAGGGCUGGCUGACCAUCAACAACAUCGGUAUCAUGAAGGGGGGCUCCAAGGAGUAUUGGUUUGUGCUGACCGCCGAGAAUCUGUCCUGGUACAAGGAUGACGAGGAGAAAGAGAAGAAAUACAUGCUGUCCGUGGACAACCUGAAGCUGCGGGACGUGGAGAAGGGCUUCAUGUCCAGCAAGCACGUCUUUGCCCUCUUCAACACGGAGCAGAGGAACGUCUACAAGGAUUAUCGGCAGCUGGAACUGGCCUGCGAGACACAGGAGGAGGUGGAUAGCUGGAAGGCCUCCUUCCUGAGAGCUGGCGUGUACCCCGAGCGUGUUGGGGACAAAGAGAAAGCCAGUGAGACGGAGGAGAAUGGCUCAGACAACUUCAUGCACUCCAUGGACCCACAGCUGGAGCGGCAGGUGGAGACCAUCCGGAACUUGGUGGACUCAUACAUGGCCAUCGUUAACAAGACCGUCCGGGACCUCAUGCCUAAGACCAUCAUGCACCUCAUGAUCAACAAUACCAAGGAAUUCAUCUUCUCGGAGCUGCUGGCCAACCUGUACUCGUGCGGGGACCAGAACACACUGAUGGAGGAGUCGGCCGAGCAGGCGCAGCGGCGCGACGAGAUGCUGCGCAUGUACCACGCACUGAAAGAGGCGCUCAGCAUCAUCGGCGACAUCAACACGACCACUGUCAGCACGCCCAUGCCCCCGCCCGUGGACGACUCCUGGCUGCAGGUCACCCACGUCCAGCCCCACACCGCAGCGCCGAGCCCCCGCGGUGCCCCCAGCCCGGCCCGGGUCGCGGGGCCCUGCUCCUGGGCCUCCGCCUGCUGGGUCCGCCCUAGGGGGGGCGCCCCCCGUGCCCUCCAGGCCGGGGGCUUCCCCUGACCCCUUCGGUCCUCCCCCCCAGGUGCCCUCGCGCCCCAACCGCGCCCCGCCCGGGGUCCCCAGAAUCACUAUCAGUGACCCCUGAGGAGCGUCAGCCACGGUAGGUACAGGCCUCUCCGCCUGCUGCAUGAACCGGUGUGUCUGCCCCCUGCCGCACCAGCUCCACACUGCAGGGCGAACCUGGGACCUCAGAGGCAGGCCCCCUCCCUCUCCCUUCUGCAGCUCCAGACUUAUUCUUUCCUCUUUCUGUCCUCGCUGCCAGCUGGCUCUCUCACCUCCCUUCUCAGCGAGCCUCGGGACUCAGUGCCACUGCCCAAGACCUCCAUGGCUGAGCCUGGGGAGGUCUUGGGACAGGCUCCGCACCCAAGCAGGCAAAGCUGGGUGCUCUCUGGAGGCGUCAGAAAGAGCGCAGAGCUCAUGGUUCGUGGUGUUAGGGGCAGGGAGCUUGGCUGGACUCAGGCAUCCAGAGGCCUUGGCGUCUCACCCUGGGGUGCCACACUCAUUCCCCGAUCUGAGCCCUGCUGCGGGGGCAGGGCAGCCAGCUCCCAGCCUGGGAGCUCUGGAAACCGAAUCCACGAUAGGGCAGAGGAAGUCAAAGUCCCACCUCCUUUAUCGAGCCAGCAAGCGAGCAGCAGCUGGGGGUGAAGGCUCUGGUUAUUUGAUGAUUUGGGAAAGCCUGAGUGUCCCCCCCACCAUCAGCCCAGAGCACAGCUCACAGGCUAGGCAGGUCACACCGCCCCUUCCCCUGCCUCCGCGGUACUGUCACUCCUGCUGGUGCAGGACUGAAGGCAGCGUCCUCAGCCCCAGGUGGAGCACCAUAGCCAGCCCGCAGGCUCAUCCACCUGGGCCUGUUGCUCCUAGGGGUGACCUCCACUUUUCCGCUAAGGGGAUGACGGUGUCUGCGGACCUGGGCAAGCCAGCUUCUCUGAGUUCCGCCCCAGCUGGGCCCCAAACUCGCCCAGCGAGCCUGCCUGCCACUCCGCGCCUGCGCUGACUCUUGCUCUUCUGCUUUUCCCCAGCAGGAAGGGCCCAGCCUCACCUACGCGACCUGCGGCCCCCCGACCAGCUGAGGCUCCCCUCUUAGACUUAUAAGCCUGUGGCCACUGGCAUCCGGCCGCCUGCCCUCCCUGCCUCCCCAGGGUCCCUUUAGAGGACUCGUGGGCUUUCUGCCCACCCAGAGGGGCCUCUAGCACUCCCUCCAGCCAUUCUGUUAGCUUUGCCCUCCUGGUUCAAACAGUGUUCUUUCUCGUGUGUUUCUCCAUCAGGCCUGGUGGCUGUCACGUGGGGCUCACGGCCCCAUACUCCCUGAGGCUAGGGAUGGCCCUGCGCCAGUGGGUUGAAAGACAGGGGGCCAGAGAAGAGGGAAGCCAGAGGGGGCCGAGCACGUGUCUGGAGCUGUGGGUGCACUGCCUGCUGGUGUGUGAGAGACUAGUGUGUGUGGAGGGGUGGGCGCUGCCCCAGCCUUUACCCCAGACCCCCGUGAGGCUCUGGCCCCUGCCCAUCUCCUGCCCUUCUACCUUCCCUUUCUCGUCUCGCUUCUCUAUUCCAGAACCCUUGCCCACACCUGGGUCUUCUGCCCCUCCCCUCCUCUCCCCUGACUGCCAAGCUAGGCUGCCCUUGCCUUACCAGCUCUCUCCCCCUUUUCUCUCUCCCGUUCUCUCUUUGCUUUCUCUCCAACUGCCAGCCGAUCGGGUCAGGCAAGUCCAUCCCGACCUGAGAGCCCCAGGCCCCCCUUCGACCUCUAACCAGAUCCCUCCUAUUCCUCGGAGACCUCCCUUUCCAAGCCUGCCUGGACGGCUGUUCUGUGACUUGACAGUGGCUACCCAGCCCCAGAGCUUCCCCUUCAUCUGUGACUUAGUCUGUUGUAGUGGUGAGCUGACACAUCCAGGCGUGACGUUGGUGAAACUUGUGCCCCUCUGUGGUCUUGCUCCUGCCCAGUUCUAUAAAUAUCUAUAAAUACUCAUAUAUAUAUAUAUAUAUAUAUAUAUAUACACACACACACACACACACACACACACACAUAUAUGGCCAAGCCUCACCUCUAGUGUCGGGAAUCAAUCACCAUGCUGUCCUUGAGGAGUCUUGUGGCCCAGCUACAAGGGAACGCUGUCACCCUGACAUCCCCCUCCAAAGCGUGCCACCUCCGAUGAGCCCCUGUCGUACCCAGCCUGUGGACAGCCAGCCCCCCUCUGCCGCCCUCCCGUCCCUACCCCGCCUCGAACACGGGGGUGCUGUACUGGCAGCUGUGCGGUUCUCUGACCACUACUGCUCUUGCUGUCUCUUGGCUGAGAAUAAAACCCAUUUCUGGAUGAUGGGGAA
Delphinapterus leucas (beluga whale) is the source of this 4853-nucleotide non-coding RNA. NCBI's taxonomy places the organism in Eukaryota, Metazoa, Chordata, Mammalia, Artiodactyla, Monodontidae. The record is from RefSeq and is a predicted model, not a curated record.